Molecule: ribosomal RNA, 319 nt
Filed under: uncultured eukaryote
Lineage: Eukaryota
Description: partial 18S ribosomal RNA
Rfam family: Eukaryotic small subunit ribosomal RNA
Source: RNAcentral
CCCUUAGAUGUUCUGGGCUGCACGCGUGCUACAAUGGCGUUUCCAGCAAGUCUGCGAACCCGAGAGGGCCAGCGGAUCUUCGAAUUGGCGUCGUGAUCGGGACAGUCGAUUGCAAUUAUUUGACUCAAACGAGGAAUUCCUUGUAAUCGCGAUUCAUCAUAUCGCGCUGAAUACGUCCCUGCCCUUUGUACACACCGCCCGUCGCUCCUACCGAUUGAGCGAUCCGGUGAAUGUUUUGGACUGGCGUCAGAAGCGGUUCGCUCCUGACACUACGAAAUUUUGUAAACCUUAUCGCUUAGAGGAAGGAAAAGUCGUAACA